GAUUGAACGCUGGCGGCAGGCCUAACACAUGCAAGUCGAGCGGUAGCACAGAGAGCUUGCUCUCGGGUGACGAGCGGCGGACGGGUGAGUAAUGUCUGGGAAACUGCCUGAUGGAGGGGGAUAACUACUGGAAACGGUAGCUAAUACCGCAUAAUGUCGCAAGACCAAAGUGGGGGACCUUCGGGCCUCAUGCCAUCAGAUGUGCCCAGAUGGGAUUAGCUAGUAGGUGGGGUAACGGCUCACCUAGGCGACGAUCCCUAGCUGGUCUGAGAGGAUGACCAGCCACACUGGAACUGAGACACGGUCCAGACUCCUACGGGAGGCAGCAGUGGGGAAUAUUGCACAAUGGGCGCAAGCCUGAUGCAGCCAUGCCGCGUGUGUGAAGAAGGCCUUCGGGUUGUAAAGCACUUUCAGCGGGGAGGAAGGCGUUAAGGUUAAUAACCUUGGCGAUUGACGUUACCCGCAGAAGAAGCACCGGCUAACUCCGUGCCAGCAGCCGCGGUAAUACGGAGGGUGCAAGCGUUAAUCGGAAUUACUGGGCGUAAAGCGCACGCAGGCGGUCUGUCAAGUCGGAUGUGAAAUCCCCGGGCUCAACCUGGGAACUGCAUUCGAAACUGGCAGGCUAGAGUCUUGUAGAGGGGGGUAGAAUUCCAGGUGUAGCGGUGAAAUGCGUAGAGAUCUGGAGGAAUACCGGUGGCGAAGGCGGCCCCCUGGACAAAGACUGACGCUCAGGUGCGAAAGCGUGGGGAGCAAACAGGAUUAGAUACCCUGGUAGUCCACGCCGUAAACGAUGUCGAUUUGGAGGUUGUGCCCUUGAGGCGUGGCUUCCGGAGCUAACGCGUUAAAUCGACCGCCUGGGGAGUACGGCCGCAAGGUUAAAACUCAAAUGAAUUGACGGGGGCCCGCACAAGCGGUGGAGCAUGUGGUUUAAUUCGAUGCAACGCGAAGAACCUUACCUGGUCUUGACAUCCACAGAACUUUCCAGAGAUGGAUUGGUGCCUUCGGGAACUGUGAGACAGGUGCUGCAUGGCUGUCGUCAGCUCGUGUUGUGAAAUGUUGGGUUAAGUCCCGCAACGAGCGCAACCCUUAUCCUUUGUUGCCAGCGGUCCGGCCGGGAACUCAAAGGAGACUGCCAGUGAUAAACUGGAGGAAGGUGGGGAUGACGUCAAGUCAUCAUGGCCCUUACGACCAGGGCUACACACGUGCUACAAUGGCAUAUACAAAGAGAAGCGACCUCGCGAGAGCAAGCGGACCUCAUAAAGUAUGUCGUAGUCCGGAUUGGAGUCUGCAACUCGACUCCAUGAAGUCGGAAUCGCUAGUAAUCGUAGAUCAGAAUGCUACGGUGAAUACGUUCCCGGGCCUUGUACACACCGCCCGUCACACCAUGGGAGUGGGUUGCAAAAGAAGUAGGUAGCUUAACCUUCGGGAGGGCGCUUACCACUUUGUGAUUCAUGACUGGGGUGAAGUCGUAACAAG
Molecule: ribosomal RNA, 1476 nt
Filed under: uncultured bacterium
Lineage: Bacteria
Description: bacterial SSU rRNA
Rfam family: Bacterial small subunit ribosomal RNA
Source: RNAcentral